RNAcentral lists this ribosomal RNA (550 nucleotides) under uncultured bacterium. RNAcentral's name for it is "partial 16S ribosomal RNA". It matches the Rfam family "Bacterial small subunit ribosomal RNA", at positions 355 to 895 of the family's 1533-position model. The record is from RNAcentral.
UGGGGAAUUUUGGACAAUGGGGGAAACCCUGAUCCAGCCAUCCCGCGUGUGCGAUGAAGGCCUUCGGGUUGUAAAGCACUUUUGGCAGGAAAGAAACGUCGCGGGUUAAUACCCCGCGAAACUGACGGUACCUGCAGAAUAAGCACCGGCUAACUACGUGCCAGCAGCCGCGGUAAUACGUAGGGUGCAAGCGUUAAUCGGAAUUACUGGGCGUAAAGCGUGCGCAGGCGGUUCGGAAAGAAAGAUGUGAAAUCCCAGAGCUUAACUUUGGAACUGCAUUUUUAACUACCGGGCUAGAGUGUGUCAGAGGGAGGUGGAAUUCCGCGUGUAGCAGUGAAAUGCGUAGAUAUGCGGAGGAACACCGAUGGCGAAGGCAGCCUCCUGGGAUAACACUGACGCUCAUGCACGAAAGCGUGGGGAGCAAACAGGAUUAGAUACCCUGGUAGUCCACGCCCUAAACGAUGUCAACUAGCUGUUGGGGGCCUUCGGGCCUUGGUAGCGCAGCUAACGCGUGAAGUUGACCGCCCCGGGGGAGUACGGUCGCAAGAUU